Camelina sativa (false flax) is the source of this 477-nucleotide long non-coding RNA. RefSeq lists it as uncharacterized. NCBI's taxonomy places the organism in Eukaryota, Viridiplantae, Streptophyta, Magnoliopsida, Brassicales, Brassicaceae. The record is from RefSeq and is a predicted model, not a curated record.
AUAUUUGGUAUAGCUUUAUAGAGAUGUGUAUAAGUAGUAACCCUAUUCCUCUCAAGCUUUUGCGCGGCGUUCUCUUAAACUCAACCUAAUUAAGGCAAGAAAAGAAAAACCGGCUUCUCUAAGGAAACGCGUGAUCAUGGCGACUCCGGCUGAUUCUGAGGCUGUCAAGUCUCUCAACAACUCCAAGGGAAAGAAGAAGUUUGUGUUCAAGAAUUUCUCUCAAAGAAUCAGUGACAUUGACAUCCAACUCUAUAGGAGCCUGGAUAAGAUGAAGGCUGACCUUCAUUCGAGGAACAAGAGAAGCGCGAGUGAUUAAAGAACUAUUAGCUCUCGAGGCCUCCAAGGACGACCAUGAUGAUGCGUUCAUGUUUAUUAUGGGAACAAGACCUCAGUAGAACAAGCUUUAAAGUUUUGGUGCUUCUUUUUCUUUUUAAGGUUUAAACUAGUUUUGGCUUUAGAUUUUAUGACUUAUUGUAC